CUGGCGGCGUGCCUAACACAUGCAAGUCGAGCGGGGUCCAUCCGGUAGCAAUACCGGGGAAGACCUAGCGGCGAACGGGUGAGUAACACGUGAGAAACCUGCCCCGAAGUCUGGGAUAACCCGAGGAAACUCGAGCUAAUACCGGAUGUCUUCUUCUGAUCGCAUGGUCGGAUGAAGAAAGAUUUAUCGCUCGGGAGGGUCUCGCGGCCUAUCAGCUAGUUGGCGGGGUAACGGCCCACCAAGGCGUCGACGGGUAGCUGGUCUGAGAGGACGAUCAGCCACACUGGGACUGGGACACGGCCCAGACUCCUACGGGAGGCAGCAGUGGGGAAUAUUGCGCAAUGGGCGAAAGCCUGACGCAGCAACGCCGCGUGCGGGAUGAAGGCCUUCGGGUUGUAAACCGCUCUCAGUGGGGACGAAUUCAGACGGUACCCACAGAAGAAGCCCCGGCCAACUACGUG
Molecule: ribosomal RNA, 461 nt
Filed under: uncultured bacterium
Lineage: Bacteria
Description: bacterial SSU rRNA
Rfam family: Bacterial small subunit ribosomal RNA
Source: RNAcentral